Molecule: RNA transcript, 1824 nt
Organism: Helianthus annuus (common sunflower)
Lineage: Eukaryota; Viridiplantae; Streptophyta; Magnoliopsida; Asterales; Asteraceae
Exons: 11
Source: RefSeq, a predicted model, not a curated record
GUUAUAACACCUUGCUUCUCCUUCAUCCUUCCUUUACAUCAGAGGUAUAAUUAUAAAACCUUGCUUCUCCUUCAUCUUUCCUUUACUUCAGACUUUUGCUACACUUUGCUCACACCACCGAAGGUUGCGUGAACGACUGCCGCUUACAGGAGUGUUUGGGGUUAUGUCUAAAGGAAUCAGCUGUUAAUCUCUUCAGGAAGACAGACAUGGCGUCUAUAAGUAUUUCCACCAUUACACAUGGGGAUUCAGCAGAGCCCAUGAGGUUAGAGUAGUAAGAAAAUGGAUAUCACAUGCUUUCAACAACGAGUGCUGCUACCUGUUCGUGGACUUGGCUGGUGACGCGAUACAAGUUGUUGUUGAUGAAAACGCCAAAAAGCAUCUUGAAUCUAAAUCAGUUUCCAUUCUUGCUAUCGUGUGAGUCACUACUUAUCAGGAGAAGCAAGAGAUAAAUACAACGUUGUCAAACAUGAUGUCAUUCUUAGGCUUGGCAAAGGAACCACUUUCGAAUCCAUACCGGAUUUUGGUUUCCCUUUUCACUAUUUCAACUUCCUACCAUACACAAAUCUCAAAGAACGCAUCGAUAAUCAUACCAUACUAACAGACUUCAUCGGUAGAUUUGUUAGAUUUACAUUUGAUAGACCUACAGCUUCUAACAGAAGGCUACUAAAGUUUGAAGUUGAAGAUAUCAGUGAAAAGUUCAUUGAGGUUUCCCUAUGGCAAGGAGAUAGCUGAUACUAUAGAUAAAGUCAGUUUCACGCGCGCGCCAUUUCCGGCUAUUUUAGCACUCACGUCAAUGAAAGUCGGAAUAUAUUAUGAUCUCCAACUGACAUCUACCUCUGCUACACAUGUUUACCUGAACCCUGAUGUAAACAUAUGCAAAACCAUCGCUUUAACGUUCAAAGCCAGGUAUAACGAUGCAUCCACCAACCAAAGGAAUAAUAUCACCCUAGCACAACUUUUGGAAUUGAAUCCUGCCUAACAAAGUAACAAAACAUUUAGCUGCCUAGGAUCAAUUACAGAGUUCAUUCAAGGGAAGUCUUGGUACUACAAAGGUUGCAAGAAGUGCAACAAAAAGCUUGAUGCAAAAGGCAGUGCCCUCGCAUGCAUAAAUCACCUAGAAGAGAAAGAUCCCAAAUUUGUGUACUGUGUUAGUGCAAUCUUGGCCGACAAUACAAAAACAGCAAUGGUUACUCUUUUCAAUGAUGCUAUUCUCUCGCUGAUAGAUACACCAUGUGUUGAAAUGGUUACUCAGCACGGUUAUGACAACCCACAACAAAUACCAAAACCACUGGAGAUCAUUAGAGGUAAAGAGAAGAUUUUCCUCUUGCAGUUCAAUAACCGCUUCCGGCAAGGUACAACAAGCUUUGUGGUCAACCAGGUUUUUGACCCACCUACAUCAGAAACUCCCACCAUAGCACAAGGCGAAGCAAUCUCAACACCAACAACGACGCCUGAAAUCCAACCCACAACUCCCGCAAUACAAUCAACAAGAAAACGUGGACUACUGAACCCAACAGAUGAACAUCAACAGAAAACACCAAAAUCUCUCGCCCCAUAAAAGGAAACAAUGAUCUCAUUUUGGAUGUGGCGACAUUAUAAAGUACAACCUUUUGUAAACGCAGCAACUGUUUUGUAAAUAGUUGUGGUAGACACAAGGCAACUUCUUUUGCGUAUCCACUGUAAAAUAGCAAUCUUAGGUGGUUGUCUUAGACAACGUCACUUUUUUUGGGUAUCCAAUGUAAAUAACCUGAUAAUCCUUGUAAUAUUUUCACUAUAUACCUUUACAACUGCUUUCAACAACUAAUAGUGUCAUAUUACGUGAAA